RNAcentral lists this ribosomal RNA (258 nucleotides) under uncultured bacterium. RNAcentral's name for it is "partial 16S ribosomal RNA". It matches the Rfam family "Bacterial small subunit ribosomal RNA", at positions 793 to 1055 of the family's 1533-position model. The record is from RNAcentral.
GUCCACGCCGUAACGAUGAAUACUAGGUGUCGGGCCGUAUAGGCUCCGGUGCCGCCGCAAACGCAGUAAGUAUUCCACCUGGGAGUACGUUCGCAAGAAUGAACUCAAAGGAAUUGACGGGACCCGCACAAGCGGUGGAGCAUGUGGUUUAAUUCGAAGCAACGCGAAGAACCUUACCAGGUCUUGACAUCCUUCUGACCGCACCUUAAUCGGUGCUUUCCUUCGGGACAGAAGAGACAGGUGGUGCAUGGUUGUCGU